This 469-nucleotide ribosomal RNA is filed under the name Streptococcus mutans. RNAcentral describes it as "bacterial SSU rRNA". It matches the Rfam family "Bacterial small subunit ribosomal RNA", at positions 28 to 471 of the family's 1533-position model. The record is from RNAcentral. Lineage: Bacteria; Bacillati; Bacillota; Bacilli; Lactobacillales; Streptococcaceae.
GACGAACGCUGGCGGCGUGCCUAAUACAUGCAAGUGGGACGCAAGGGAACACACUGUGCUUGCACACCGUGUUUUCUUGAGUCGCGAACGGGUGAGUAACGCGUAGGUAACCUGCCUAUUAGCGGGGGAUAACUAUUGGAAACGAUAGCUAAUACCGCAUAGUAUUAAUUAUUGCAUGAUAAUUGAUUGAAAGAUGCAAGCGCAUCACUAGUAGAUGGACCUGCGUUGUAUUAGCUAGUUGGUAAGGUAAGAGCUUACCAAGGCGACGAUACAUAGCCGACCUGAGAGGGUGAUCGGCCACACUGGGACUGAGACACGGCCCAGACUCCUACGGGAGGCAGCAGUAGGGAAUCUUCGGCAAUGGACGAAAGUCUGACCGAGCAACGCCGCGUGAGUGAAGAAGGUUUUCGGAUCGUAAAGCUCUGUUGUAAGUCAAGAACGUGUGUGAGAGUGGAAAGUUCACACAGUG